This is a long non-coding RNA of Dermacentor silvarum, 441 nucleotides long. RefSeq lists it as uncharacterized. Lineage: Eukaryota; Metazoa; Arthropoda; Arachnida; Ixodida; Ixodidae. The record is from RefSeq and is a predicted model, not a curated record. The transcript has 3 exons.
GUGUAACAUGGAUAAAGCAACACAUUUUCCUGAAAAGAAUUAGAGCAAAAGGCAAGCCAGAAACGAAAUGAUGAUCGCACAAAUGCGUUUGGAGACGACGGACAUGCGAUGAACCUCCUCCACUAUGUGCUGCUGGCCAGUUUUCUCUUCAAUACAACAUUUGUGGAAGGGCGAGGAAAAGGAGGGUGCUCAUUGAGACCAAAAGCAGGAAACUGUACAAGUAAGCCUUGGUGGAACUACAACCCGGAAACACAGAGGUGUGAACUUAUAACGGAAGGAUGUCCUCGCAAGAAGCGUAACUAUUACCGUUCAUGCAAGAUAUGCGCAGAAGUGUGCAUCCUGCCGACGCAAGGCACACCGAAGAAGAAUCCCUGUCCCGGAAAGAUUAAACAAACACUAAAAAACUUGAAAAAUAAAAUGAGAAAACCAGCUUAUAUGAGU